Molecule: long non-coding RNA, 2741 nt
Filed under: Triticum aestivum (bread wheat)
Lineage: Eukaryota; Viridiplantae; Streptophyta; Magnoliopsida; Poales; Poaceae
Description: long non-coding RNA (TAES_LNC027279)
Source: RNAcentral
UCAGAUUUACUGGAAAAAGUGUCGUAAUCUUGUAACAAAGCAAUGCCAUAUGUAUGCACUCUCAAGCAAAAAAUAUACUGUUGUUUAUUUUAAGCAUCAGCCAUUACGCUUGCUAAAACAAUAAAUCAAGUACUACCAUCGAGAUAUUGUACAACAAGUCAGAAACAUGUUGAUCUCCAAAAAGGUUCCAUUCCAGUGUAGAAGCAUCUGUCGUAGAACAAAUGGAAAACUACAUCUGCACCUUCCAGCAAUGACUACGAAAGCAAGAGCUACAAAAGAAAGGUAUAGAGUUCCAGUUCUCAGUGGAGUCCAGUAUUGUUGCUACCAUUCCAAAGUAGAAGCAUCUGCCGUAGAACAAAGCGGAGACAUGUAAUUCAGAAAAACUACAUCAGCCCCUUCUAGGGAAGACAACAAAAGGAAGAGCUGCAUAAGAAAGGUAUAGAGUUCCAGUUCUAUGGAGUACAAUACUGUUGCUAUCAUAGGCUUCCCGCUCCGCACCAAGCAUAAGCAGCUCCAAAAAGGUUCCAUUCCAGACGGGGCUCAGCAUCAUUCUGUAAGGUAUUUCUCCAUCAGUGAUGCAUCCUGUAGUUUAAAAUAAACUCAGGUGAAUCUACGACAAUAUUAAAACUGCCUCAUUAUUUCAUAUCCAAGGCAGAAGAACUGGCAGGCUCAAACUAUAUUCUCUAUAGUUAUAAUAUAGGUUAUCAAACGGCGAGAAAUAGGCAGGCUAACUAAUAACUUUGGGAACCAGACAUAAAAGACGAUUGCUACAAAAAUACAGGCCAUAGGAUUAAAAAGAACUGGCAGGCUCAAACUAUAUUAUGUUUAGUACCCCAGCUCCCAUUCCAGCAGUAGAGUUUCUUAACUGCAAGUUCUGUUCUAGUCAGAAAUGAAUAUUUGUUUUGUCUGUACAAACUGAAGGGAUGCAUAUAUAGAUGGACAGCAUAAAAAGCAGCACCACUUGUUCCUGGUCACUCGAGCCUGGACAUCCUUAUCAUCCUUUUCUUCAACAGGAGGCGAAGAAGCAUCAGCUUGACCACCAGAGCUCGCCUGGUGCGUCAAAGAAAACCAGUGAAGAGGGAGACAUGUGUAAAUAUGUGGGCAUAUAGCAUAGCCGGCAGGGCACGGCGAUUUGGUACAAAAGGAAACACAAACAUGAGUGUAAUUAAGUAGUUAUAAGCAUAUUAUAGUUGUCUAUUUCAGAAGACAUACCUUGGGGUUGUAGCUUGAAGGAGACCAGUACUGAGCUUCGAAGUAAGGUAGUUAGAAAGAAUCUAAAUAAUAUGCUGGCCUGCAGACUUAGUAAAUAGCAUAGUAGGAAUCAAAGAAACCGCAAUGUUCUUGAACAGAAAGAUCUCCUAUAGGCCAUCAUACAUUCAUAGUUAUUGUCAUGAACGAAAAGUCCAUAUAAACCUUGCAAAAUACGCAAGACCUGUAGAGCAUCCUGCUCAUAGCCAUUCAUAAAACCACACCAAGCCAAGCUCGGAAAACAUCUCUUUGUGGCACUGGAGUAGAACCGUCCCCUGGGAGCUCGAGUUCUACACCAGCAAGAACAGAACCGUCGUCUACAACCUCACACAGACACGAAAGCGACGACAAAGCACACCGAGCUACCUUAGUCUCCAAAACAAGUAUAACAACGGAAACAAGUGCAUAGAUCCUGCUCACACGCAUACACGAACUAUAAGUAGCAAGAGAACGAACAACACACAAUGCCCUGCCGUAUCCGAAAUAUUUAAACGAUCAGCAUGGCAGACACCAUAAUAAUACUUAAACGAUCAUGAAGGCAGAUAGCAUGAUAUAGAAGAUAGUGAAAGUAAAACACACACACAUGUAAAAAGGAGAACAACAAACCUUGGCGAGUCGAACGGAGACGUAGCGGCAGAAGAGAUCGCACAUCCUACAAAACGCACAGAAAACAACCGAUAAGAACACAACGAUACACAUGCAAGCAAUAAACAUGCAUGAGACCAUAUAUGCAUUUUGUUAUGGAAUGGUCUGAAUCAUAAAUACCCUACCAGGAAAGAAACUCACACAAUCAGGAUUAUACACCAAGCGGAAGGACUAAAGGAAAAAAUGAAGUCCAUAAAAAUAUUAACACAUAAAUGUCAAUCAGUACUAAGAAAAGGGGUCGGCAAUAGAUGUACAGCCGAACUGAACUGAAUUUUGGGGCUAAAUGGCGCGAACACAUCUAUUUAACUAUUGCAGCACUUUGAGUUGAAAACGAAAGGGUGGCUCAUUAACUAAUUAAUGUAGGAAACUACUAUCACAAUAUAUCAAUCACCAUCACCAGGCUCCAUAUGUAUUAUUGGUUGGACUAUACAAAAUGUGAAAUAUGGUCUUGUCUUUUGUGAUUCAACAACUGGGAUUCUAGCCAUUGUGUGGGAAGAAUGAUACAAUUUUGGAGCAUACAGGGCGUCAACAUCUCAUUCAUGCGAUCUCAUAAGUAUUCUCAUGUAGGCUCAUCUAACAAGAAAAUAGAUGUAAACUUCUUUAAGGCACAAAUAUACCUAAACAAAGAAAUCUCAUACAUAUAUCCAUGUAAGAAAAAAAAAGUAGCAGCACCAGAUAUAGAAGGGUACAUGGAGACAGGUUGAUAUGUAAGGUCAGAAUUGGAGAGAUGGAUGAAUCAUAAAAUAUGUAUCUUACCAGCUAAAUAUUCCACGGCCGACCCCGCCUCCUUGUUCCUGCUGCUCCGGCAGGCGAGCCUCCCUCCACGACCGACCCCCUCCCCCAACCCC